RNAcentral lists this long non-coding RNA (1601 nucleotides) under Panax ginseng (ginseng). RNAcentral describes it as "long non-coding RNA (PGIN_LNC012873)". The record is from RNAcentral. Lineage: Eukaryota; Viridiplantae; Streptophyta; Magnoliopsida; Apiales; Araliaceae.
AGACAGUAGUUGGGGAAGGGUUCCAGAAUUUGUUUGAGGCAUUUAAUUACAAUUGUAUUUUAGUUGCACUUGCAAUCCAUGAGUUAAGAAAGUUACUUCUGCAUCGAAUGGGUGGUUCUCUUCUGACUAUGAUGGACUUUUGAUUGAAAGCAUGAUUUUAACUUUAUCUAGUCAUUAAGCAAUUUAGAGACUUCAUUUCAGCGGUGGUAAAAGUUAAAACUGCUGGAACAAUGACAAAAGUUAUUUUUGCUCCAAAAGAAAGCUGAAGAAUAGCUCUGUGAGGUUUUCACUAUGAUUCAACUGUUGCCGUACCCCUAUUAAAACUUAACUUAUAAGAGAAAUAGAUUUCCAAGAUAAGAUAUGAACCAAUUCCUCAGAAGUUGUUUUUGUGCACUUCAAGAAGAUGCUGUUGGAUCUAAAAGGCCCCUCUAGUGGAAGUAUGGAGUAUUACAUCUUACCUUUCCCCAAUAACUAUUUGUUUGACGAUUUAUUUUUGGUUUGGUGGUGGGGGUGGGUGCCAACUCCGUCAGCCUAAGUUUUGAAACCGUAAAAAUCUUUCCCUUGGGAUCCAAACCUAGACCCUUGAUCAUAGUUUAUGAUACAGGCUGUAGUUUUAAAGAAGUAAUAAUUCAGAAACUUUAGAUGUUCUUGUCUUAUGCUGUGAAAUUCAAAUAUAUUUUCUACUAACCACUUUGACAAGAAUUAUAAUUCUCCUCAGUAAGUUCAAUCAUUCUGCAUGUUGCUUGAUAUGGAGUCAAUGGCAUUUAUGCAACACAUGUUUGUAGAACAUUUUCUGGUGUUGAUUUUGUAACCCAACUGUGAAUAUGGGUUGGAUCUAUUUCAUGAAGAUAGAUAUAUACGUGUGCUAAUUGGCUGAUGCUACAAAUAUAGACACCUUCCAUGUGUUAUGGCCUCAAGUGUAUUCUUCUACAUCAUUAGAAGGCUAGUUUCACCCGUUAGGAUGUCCCAAUAAACCAAGAAAGUUAUAUGAGUUAAGCAGGGCUUUAUGUCACACUAUAUCUGAAUUCCUGAUUGUAGGUGAAUAGUUAGGCACCCUGAAGUUUAGAUGUUCUUGUCUUAUGCUGUGAAAUUCAAAUAUAUUUUCUACUAACCACUUUGACAAGAAUUAUAAUUCUCCUCAGUAAGUUCAAUCAUUCUGCAUGUUGCUUGAUAUGGAGUCAAUGGCAUUUAUGCAACACAUGUUUGUAGAACAUUUUCUGGUGUUGAUUUUGUAACCCAACUGUGAAUAUGGGUUGGAUCUAUUUCAUGAAGAUAGAUAUAUACGUGUGCUAAUUGGCUGAUGCUACAAAUAUAGACACCUUCCAUGUGUUAUGGCCUCAAGUGUAUUCUUCUACAUCAUUAGAAGGCUAGUUUCACCCGUUAGGAUGUCCCAAUAAACCAAGAAAGUUAUAUGAGUUAAGCAGGGCUUUAUGUCACACUAUAUCUGAAUUCCUGAUUGUAGGUGAAUAGUUAGGCACCCUGAAGUUAUUGUUCACUUUGGUGCUGACUACAUAUUCAUUUUGUUGAUAAUCUCUCUUUCUCUCUCUCACACACACACAAACAAACACACACACAAAUACAUGUUUUAUAUCUAUUUUGAU